AGUGAACGCUGGCGGCAGGCCUAACCCAUGCAAGUCGAACGGUAGCACAGAGGAGCUUGCUCCUUGGGUGACGAGUGGCGGACGGGUGAGGAAUAUAUCGGAAUCUACCCAAUCGUGGGGGAUAACGUAGGGAAACUUACGCUAAUACCGCAUACGAUCUGAGGAUGACAGCGGCGGACCGCAAGGCGUCGCGCGAUUGGAUGAGCCGAUAUCCGAUUAGCUAGUUGGUGAGGUAAUGGCCCCCCAAGGCAACGAUCGGUAGCUGGUCUGAGAGGAUGAUCAGCCCCCCUGGAACUGAGACCCGGUCCAGACUCCUACGGGAGGCAGCAGUGGGGAAUAUUGGACAAUGGGCGCAAGCCU
RNAcentral lists this ribosomal RNA (360 nucleotides) under uncultured bacterium. RNAcentral's name for it is "bacterial SSU rRNA". It matches the Rfam family "Bacterial small subunit ribosomal RNA", at positions 29 to 384 of the family's 1533-position model. The record is from RNAcentral.